GCCAUAGUCAACCUGUGAACCAACAACUGUUAUAGAAAUUUGGUAUUGAGGAUAGGAAUUUGUUUGGGAGAAUGUGUUUUCACUGAAACGUAAGGUCAUUGAAUCAACAGACAUCAAGAAUCUUGUUAGUUUGAUGGAUGAUAAAGAAAGAAGAAAAUCUUGAUGUGGGAAAUCUACACUUGGGAUUGAAGUGUAGAUUUCAGUGUGAACUAUUUGGGGGACAAGCAAAGCCUAGGGACCAGAAAAAGUGCUCUCUCUUAAACUAUCAUGCUGUUGGAAGUGCCUAAUUUGCUGGAAAGGAAUGAUUAGAAGAGAGUGUAGGGUGAGGAUAAAGAAAGUUGUUCCAAAUGCAUGACAUUGCCCAUAAAUUCUCAUUUUGCCAAUCCUGCAUGCUUUUAAUCAGUAUGGGAAGCCCGAAUUACCUGCAAGUGAAGGAAUAGGAUUUUAUUCGAUCCCCUUAAUUAGGCUGCGUUUAGGAGCUCAAUUCUGUUGGCAG
RNAcentral lists this unclassified non-coding RNA (496 nucleotides) under Hevea brasiliensis (rubber tree). The record is from RNAcentral. Lineage: Eukaryota; Viridiplantae; Streptophyta; Magnoliopsida; Malpighiales; Euphorbiaceae.